GUUAUAAUAAUUUAAAAAAAAAUAAUGGUUUUGUAAACCAAAUUUGAAUAUACUCUUAUAAUA
This 63-nucleotide transfer RNA is filed under the name Ixodes pavlovskyi. RNAcentral describes it as "tRNA-Thr". Lineage: Eukaryota; Metazoa; Arthropoda; Arachnida; Ixodida; Ixodidae. The record is from RNAcentral.